ACUGGCGGCCAUGGAACUCACCGGUAAUAGAGGACACAUCUCUUAACUGGGUUGCUCUAAGAACUGAUGUCUAAACCGUCUCAGCAUGGCCUGUAGAGGAGGAGCUGGGAAUGGCCACCGUGCCUCAGCUACACUCUCUCGGGGAUCGAUUUGCUUAGUGGUAUAAUACCUGAACUCUGUCAGAAAUAUCCAGAUUUAAAUUUCAUAAUUGGAGGAGAGGGACCAAAGAGAAUCAUUUUGGAAGAAGUUCGGGAAAGAUACCAGCUGCAUGACAGGUAUUGAUGAAUUUCAUGUUGUCUUGAGGGAGAAGAUGUCAAUUAUCUCUAUUUGGUUUUAACUGCAUGCGUACCUUAGAUGUGUUGCUUCUCCUGCAUGUAAUUGAUAUACAUAUAAUUGAUAUAAAUCUAAUGCAAGGACUGUUUUCAAAAUUUUUAUAUAAAUAGGAAACCUAGUUAAUUCACAAUUUUAUUUUUUCCAUUAGCCCAAUAUUAUUUGACUUUGGGGGGCCAUUGUUGGAGGCACCAUGAAAGGCACAAAAAACAGCUGCUUUAACUGGAAGCGUUUGCAGAUUUCCAGGCCAUACUGUG
RNAcentral lists this small RNA (587 nucleotides) under Pan troglodytes (chimpanzee). RNAcentral's name for it is "retained intron". The record is from RNAcentral. Lineage: Eukaryota; Metazoa; Chordata; Mammalia; Primates; Hominidae.